ACGCUAGCUACAGGCUUAACACAUGCAAGUCGAGGGGCAGCAUGGUCUUAGCUUGCUAAGGCCGAUGGCGACCGGCGCACGGGUGAGUAACACGUAUCCAACCUGCCGUCUACUCUUGGACAGCCUUCUGAAAGGAAGAUUAAUACAAGAUGGCAUCAUGAGUCCGCAUGUUCACAUGAUUAAAGGUAUUCCGGUAGACGAUGGGGAUGCGUUCCAUUAGAUAGUAGGCGGGGUAACGGCCCACCUAGUCUUCGAUGGAUAGGGGUUCUGAGAGGAAGGUCCCCCACAUUGGAACUGAGACACGGUCCAAACUCCUACGGGAGGCAGCAGUGAGGAAUAUUGGUCAAUGGGCGAGAGCCUGAACCAGCCAAGUAGCGUGAAGGAUGACUGCCCUAUGGGUUGUAAACUUCUUUUAUAAAGGAAUAACGUCGGGUAUGGAUACCCGUUUGCAUGUACUUUAUGAAUAAGGAUCGGCUAACUCCGUGCCAGCAGCCGCGGUAAUACGGAGGAUCCGAGCGUUAUCCGGAUUUAUUGGGUUUAAAGGGAGCGUAGAUGGAUGUUUAAGUCAGUUGUGAAAGUUUGCGGCUCAACCGUAAAAUUGCAGUUGAUACUUGGAUAUCUUGAGUGCAGUUGAUGCAGGCGGAAAUUUCGUGGUGUAGCGGUGAAAUGCUUAGAUAUCACGAAGAACUCCGAUUGCGAAGGCAGCCUGCUAAGCUGCAACUGACAUUGAGGCUCGAAAGUGUGGGUAUCAAACAGGAUUAGAUACCCUGGUAGUCCACACGGUAAACGAUGAAUACUCGCUGUUUGCGAUAUACUGCAAGCGGCCAAGCGAAAGCGUUAAGUAUUCCACCUGGGGAGUACGCCGGCAACGGUGAAACUCAAAGGAAUUGACGGGGGCCCGCACAAGCGGAGGAACAUGUGGUUUAAUUCGAUGAUACGCGAGGAACCUUACCCGGGCUUAAAUUGCAGAUGAAUUACGGUGAAAGCCGUAAGCCGCAAGGCAUCUGUGAAGGUGCUGCAUGGUUGUCGUCAGCUCGUGCCGUGAGGUGUCGGCUUAAGUGCCAUAACGAGCGCAACCCUUGUUGUCAGUUACUAACAGGUUCCGCUGAGGACUCUGACAAGACUGCCAUCGUAAGAUGUGAGGAAGGUGGGGAUGACGUCAAAUCAGCACGGCCCUUACGUCCGGGGCUACACACGUGUUACAAUGGGGGGUACAGAGGGCCGCUACCACGCGAGUGGAUGCCAAUCCCCAAAACCUCUCUCAGUUCGGACUGGAGUCUGCAACCCGACUCCACGAAGCUGGAUUCGCUAGUAAUCGCGCAUCAGCCACGGCGCGGUGAAUACGUUCCCGGGCCUUGUACACACCGCCCGUCAAGCCAUGGGAGCCGGGGGUACCUGAAGUGCGUAACCGCGAGGAGCGCCCUAGGGUAAAACUGGUGACUGGGGC
Molecule: ribosomal RNA, 1447 nt
Filed under: uncultured organism
Description: SSU rRNA
Rfam family: Bacterial small subunit ribosomal RNA
Source: RNAcentral